GUGGGGAAUCUUCCGCAAUGGACGAAAGUCUGACGGAGCGACGCCGCGUGAAGGAAGAAGGUUUUCGGAUCGUAAACUUCUAUCCUUGGUGAAGAUAAUGACGGUAGCCAAGAAGGAAGCCCCGGCUAACUACGUGCCAGCAGCCGCGGUAAUACGUAGGGGGCAAGCGUUGUCCGGAAUGAUUGGGCGUAAAGGGCGCGUAGGCGGCCCGGUAAGUCUGAAGUGAAAGUCCUGCUUUUAAGGUGGGAAUUGCUUUGGAUACUGUCGGGCUUGAGUGCAGGAGAGGUAAGCGGAAUUCCCGGUGUAGCGGUGAAAUGCGUAGAGAUCGGGAGGAACACCAGUGGCGAAGGCGGCUUACUGGACUGUAACUGACGCUGAGGCGCGAAAGUGUGGGGAGCAAACAGGAUUAGAAACCCUUGUAGUCC
RNAcentral lists this ribosomal RNA (425 nucleotides) under uncultured bacterium. Its description in RNAcentral is "partial 16S ribosomal RNA". It matches the Rfam family "Bacterial small subunit ribosomal RNA", at positions 354 to 796 of the family's 1533-position model. The record is from RNAcentral.